CUGGUGUCAGCCGCCGCGGUAAUACCCGCACCCCGAGUGGUCGGGACGAUUAUUGGGCCUAAAGCAUCCGUAGCCGGUCCUGCAAGUCUUCCGUUAAAUCCAGCUGCUCAACAGAUGGGCUGCGGGGGAUACUAUAGGGCUAGGAGGCGGGAGAGGCAAGCGGUACUUUAUGGGUAGGGGUAAAAUCCGUUGAUCCAUAGAAGACCACCAGUGGCGAAGGCGGCUUGCCAGAACGCGCUCGACGGUGAGGGACGAAAGCUGGGGGAGCAAACCGGAUUAGAUACCCGGGUAGUCCCAGCUGUAAACGAUGCAGACUCGGUGAUGGGUUGGCUUCGUGCCAACCCAGUGCCGCAGGGAAGCCGUUAAGUCUGCCGCCUGGGGAGUACGGUCGCAAGACUGAAACUUAAAG
Molecule: ribosomal RNA, 409 nt
Filed under: uncultured Nitrososphaerota archaeon
Lineage: Archaea; Thermoproteati; Nitrososphaerota
Description: bacterial SSU rRNA
Rfam family: Archaeal small subunit ribosomal RNA
Source: RNAcentral